CGUGUAUUUGGGCAAGUCCCAGAUAUGUAAUAAUUUUAAUGUUGGGGCUUGCUCCUAUAGUGCUUGCCAUCUGUUACAUAUCUGCUCCUAUUGUUUCAGGGCACACGCAAAGGCUGUGUGCCCUAAUAAAAUGCACGUUAAACCCUACCUAACUACUGUGAAUGUUGAUGUUCUGGCAGGGCUUCUCUCCAAGUACCAUUCUACACAUCUUGUGGAGUAUUUGAUUGCAGGGUUUUCCCAAGGGUUUCAUACUGGCCUCAUUUACAUACCAGGGGGUACAUGGGAAGCCAACCUCCAAUCCGCUUUUGUGACACAGACGCAGUAGACUACCUACUACAAAUAGAACAAGACCAGGGAUUUGUCUUAGGUCCAUUUAUUGAUC
Molecule: non-coding RNA, 382 nt
Organism: Pelobates cultripes (western spadefoot toad)
Lineage: Eukaryota; Metazoa; Chordata; Amphibia; Anura; Pelobatidae
Source: the annotation of a GenBank genome assembly